GCGGGCUUCCUGCGGCCCUGGAAGAAAGCGGUGCUUUCCCGAGGCGCGGCUCGCGCCCUCUCCCCUGUCCCUUAGGCCCGGGCCCAGUCCAGAACCGCGUCCCGGGAGCCGCCCGCUCCCAGGGGCUCAUCCUUGGCCGCCUUCCGCGCCUCUUUCUCCGGAGACCACGCUCCGACCAGGCCGUGGCGGGCACAGUGCCUUCUUUGGCUUCUGCUCCGUCGGGCCUACAAUGCUAAAGAAAAAUAAAAUCAUGAAAUUUGCGGGGAAAAGAAUGGACCUGGAAAGGAUUACACUUAGUGAGUAACCCAGGUCCAGAAACCCAAUCAUCACAAGGCCUCUCGUAUAUGGAUGCCAGCUACAAAUGUGUGGAUUCAUAUGCCAUUGCUGAGGCUCUUGGUUUCCCAAGGAAUAGAUGGUAAGACCCUACUGCUGAAGAC
Long non-coding RNA from Jaculus jaculus (lesser Egyptian jerboa), 437 nucleotides. RefSeq lists it as uncharacterized. The transcript has 3 exons. Lineage: Eukaryota; Metazoa; Chordata; Mammalia; Rodentia; Dipodidae. The record is from RefSeq and is a predicted model, not a curated record.